GAAGUAGCAACUAAUCUCUCACGAAGAUGCUACUUCUAACUAAUAUUUUCUUAUAAUUGGUGGCACGUGUAGGUUUUUUCAGAGUUAAGCAGUCUGCUCGUUUGUUACUCUGUAAUAACUCGGCUGUUACUAAUGGCACUGAAGUUGACUGGAUCGACAUCCACAAGUUCCUACACUUUAUUGAUUGUCUUGAGGUCCUUGUGGGGCGUUUCAAUGGUGGAAGGCCACGUGGGAUAUGUGUGCCACUGCUGCAUUCGUUGAACAGGUCCAACUGUGUCGAGAAACUUAUGGUACGAGCUAUUUUCUGUUAUAUAUGUUGUUCAUAAACUAUUGCUUAUACACAGUUUUACAGCUGUGAUCUUCUUGAAACAGGAACUGCCGAGUUCUAUUGUUCCUAUACAGAUGCCGGACCAUGGUCGGGUCAGACUUGCGCUUGGUCACAACAUGAUGUUUAUGUCGACCUACUCAAUUCCCCUUGGAGGUGAAAAGAUACUUAUUUGUGGGUGGUCUCAAAUAAUGAAGGUCCGUCCAUCUUGGAGAAUAGGACAGAAGAUUAUGUUCAUGCUUUUCCAUGGCUCUAAAGCGAAUAUCCUGUUUAUUGACCAUGUUGCAGAUGAAGCCGCUUUCAGAAGGUUGUGGAUGCGCGGGGUGGUGCCUGGGCCUUGUCCUGGGGCUUGGCGGCCUCACCCUUGGUUAACUAUAGGCAAAGUAGCACUAUUCGAGGCGUGCUUUGUACGGUUGGACCUGUAUAAGUACUCAUACUGCUUCCGGCUUUGGUUGUAAAGUGCCCCUGCUGGUUUCAGUUAAGGUUGUUAAGUGUGACGCCCUCGAUUCAAUCGUACACUAAUCAUACACGCAAAUGUGUACGAUCAAGAUCAAGGACUCACGGGAAGAUAUCACAACACAACUCUAGACACAAAUUAAAAUAAUACAAGCUUUAUAUUACAAGCCAGGGGCCUCGAGGGCUCGAAUACAUAAGCUCGAAUACACAAGUCAGCGGAAGCAACAUUAUCUGAGUACAGACAUGAGUUAAACAAAUUUUCCUUAAGAAGGCUAGCACAAAAGCAACAUGAUCGAAAAGGCAAGGCCUCCUGCCUGGGAGCCUCCUAACUACUCCUGGUCAUCGGCGGUCUCCGUCACGUGGUAGUAGGCACCCUCGGGGUAGUAGAAGUCGUCAAAAGUGGCAUCUGGCUCCUGGACUCCACCAUCUGGUUGCAACAACCAGAAGGAAGAAAGAAGGGGGGGAAAGGGGUAGCAAAGCAACCGUGAGUACUCAUCCAAAGUACUCGCAAGCAAGGAUCUACACUACAUAUGCCACAUUAUCAAUGAAAUGGGAUGUAUCUGUGGACUGGGCUGCAGAAAUGCCAGAAUAAAGAGAAGUCCUAGUCGUAUCAAAGACUAGCAUCUUCUGGAAACCACCAUCUUGCAACAAACAAGAGGGAGUAGAGUAGCAUAAAGUAAAGUAGUAGUAGUGUUAUCAACCUCGGCAAGAGAUCCUUUCUCGACUCCCUGCGAGAAAGCAAUCCCAGAGCCAUACUAUCCAAUUGUCAUCACAAUCCAAUUCUCAUCACCAUCCAAUUCUCAUCACAAGUAUCCAGUUCUAGUUGUAUCGAUCGGGAUACAACUCCAAGUGUCCGUUACCGUAGGACAGACUAUCGAUAGAUGUUUUCUUCCCUGCAGGGGUGCACCAACUUACCCACCACGCUUGAUUAACUCCGGCCGGACACACUUUCCUGGGUCAUGCCCGGCCUCGGCCAAACAAUACGCCGCAACCCGACCUAAGCUUAAUAGAGAGGUCAGCACGCCGGACUAAACCUAUGCCCCCAGGGGUCAUGGGCCAUCUCCCCGGGAACUCCUGCAUGUUGCGUGGGCGGCCGGUGAGCAGACCUAGCCUCCCUUAUACAAGCGAAGGCAUAACCAGUCUAACUCGGCGCGCGCCGCUCAGUCGUUAACAUCUAUUAAGCUUCGGCUGAUGCAUACGACGCAGAAUGCCCAUACUAUGCCCACGUGAUGGUUAGUGCUAUCAGGCCAGAGGCCCCUCCGAUCAAAUAUCCAAACCGUUAGUGUGUUGGUAGUGCGGUCACGAGCAGAGACUCACAAAAGAUGUGACCCCGUCGCCCCGUCUCGAGGACUUGCGGCAAGGGCUAAGAAUGCCCGGCCAUGCCUCGUAUUCAACUCUCGGGUACCCUCCAGGUCAACCCGUCUCCACAUCACUCGCAAUUAUUCUCGCGCGGGUACCCCUCAGGGUCGACCCGUCCUUAGUUACAUGAUUCAGUGUAAAGUCAUAGUAAUCAUAGUAACUGUGUGUCUAAACAUCAAGGGGAAACCCGAGGAAUCACCCCCGGUGAGUUCCACUCGAUGUAAUCAUCAAGGUGAACGUAAGAGGAAUCACUCCCGAGGUUCACACUUGAGGGGUUGCAUGACAGAGUCGUAUCGGAAGUGGUUAAGAUGGAAUCACCCUCGAUGACCACGACUGAAUAACUACACUACAGGGUUAACAUCAGAAGUGAUGUAGAGGUCUCACCCUUGUCACUUGAUAGUAACCCAGCAGUGUCGAGCAACUAAGGGGAAAGUGAUGUGUGGUGCCGGGGCCUGGUCUUCGAUCCCGUUGAUCGGGUCUUCAAUGAUGAAGCAGGGGCAACAAGGACAAGGUGGGGUCACUGAUGGAUCACUAACCAACCUAUACUAAGCAGUUUAGGAUAAGCAGGUAAGGUAACGAUAAGAAGGUUACAAAAGCAGGCUAUGCAUUAGAAUAGGAGCGAACAAUAACAAUAGCAAAAUCUAAUGCAAGCAUGAGAUAAAGGAAUGGGCGAUAUCGGGAUGAUCAAAGGGGGGGCUUGCCUGGUUGUUCUGGCAAGAAAGAGGGGUCGUCGGUGACGUAGUCGAUCACAGGGGCAUCAGCAUCGUCACGGGGUCUACCGAAGAGAAGAAGGGGGAGAAACAGUAAAUAUAUAGCAAGAAAGUGCAUAACAGGACAACAGGUAGAGCUAGAUGUGUUCUUAGGCGGUGCUACACGAUGCCAGUGAAGGGGGAAGUCAACCGGGAAUGUUUUCCCGGUUCCGGGCCUAUGUCAGACAGAUGACCGGAGGGGAAAUGUUCCAUGUUCAGAUAGUUAGAGGCAUCUGAUAGGUAAACGGACCGCGUAUCCGGAUUCACUGGAUUUUUCUGAGCAACUUUCAUGUAGAAAACAUUUUCAUCGGAGUUACGGUUUAUUUUCUAUGAAUUUUCAAAGAUUAAACAGUUUUCUGGAAUUACUUAAAUUAACAGAAAAGGAAUAUGACGUCAGCAUGACAUAUGUGUGACGUCAGCAGUCAACAGUCCGGUUGACUAGUCAAACCGACAUGGGGGAUCCACCUUUCAUAGACAGUGGGUUAAACAGAGUUCAAACUAAUCUAAAUUUAGUUAGUAAAGCUACUGGGCCCACCUAUCAACGUCUAGUUAAGCUAAUUAAUUAAUUAUAAAAUCCUUUAGCUAAUUAGUGGUGGUGGGGCCCAUUUGUCAGCAGCUGGGCUAGUCCAGUCAGUAGAGCUGACCAGUCAACAGGCCGGCCGGGCCCCUGGGGCCCACGGGUCAGUGACCUAGGUGGUGGCCCGGGGGUGGCCCACACGACACCAGCUCAGUGGAGCUGCCGGAGUGGCUCCGGCGAGCUCGUGCGCAGCAGCAGAACGCCGACGAGGUCGGAAAUCGCCUACGGUUCACCAUUUUGCGUGCCACGACUUGCGUUCGAAAGCUAGGAGGGAGCCGCGUCGAGUGGUGCUGCUAGACUACGCCGGGGAUGCCGGAAACGUCACCGGCGUCGAGCUUGGCGGCGGUGGCUUUCGGGCGUGCUCGCGCUCGUCGCUUCAAGGCACGGCAAGGACCGUGGAAGGUGGCGUUGGACUGCUGGGAGCGUGCUGAGCACGAUGUCGUGCUCGUCCGAGCUGGACGGAGAGUGUGGACACGGCGAUGAGUACGGCGGUGGAGGCGCGCUACGGCCAGGACGGUAGCUACGGCUAGGGGCACGGUGAGGCAAGGAAGGAGAAGGGAGAGGACAGAGUGGAGCUCACCGAGCGGUCAAGAAAGACCCUUGGUGGCUUAGGAGCAGCAGAGCUCGCUGGGAAGGAAGGGGAUUGCCGACGGCCGUCGAGGAAGAAGACGAUGCGUGUGGCGACAGUGGAGCUCCCCCACUCUGAUCCAAGGGCGUAGGCGACGUAGGUGAAGGCACCGACGCUACUGGACAUGCGCAAACGGCGCGGGGUGGCGGGCGGACGCGCCUAUGGCGAGGACUAGGCAACGGCGUCGUCAGCCCUUCUCCAAAUCCGCGGAGAGGGAGAGGGGGAGAAAUGGAUGAGGGCGCCAGGGGGAGUGGGGUGGUGCAAGUGGAGGCGGGGAUCGAGGAGGCGAGGAGGCCCAGGCCUUAUCCCCUCGCUCGGGCAUCGCCGGCGAGGCGGGUCCGGCAGGGACGGCGCUUGUAGCGACUUGGGUCGUGGAACAGUGCGAGGGGGGAAACGACCGGGAAGGAGGAAUGGGCUGCCACAUGUAGUGGGCCGACCGAGGUGGGUGUAGUCCAGGGAGGGGGGGUUGCUCUCUCUUUCAAGACGCCUGCAAAUCUUGAAAGUAAUAUGAAAUGGGUUGUAAAUAAAAAAACAUAUGAAAAAUUGGCAAUUACUUUAUAAUUUCUGAUUUUUUUUACAUUUUUAGAUUCCUAUUUCACUAGGCAUUAACCUAAUUUAAAUAUAUCUUCAAAGUACUUUAAAUCUGGCUCGACAUUUCGGUAUUAAAAAUAGUUUGGAACCACAGAAAUAUGCGAAAUUGGCCCUGGCAAACCAAAAAACGACUGCAAUAAGUUGCAUAAGAAGUUGCCAUGAGCUAUAUAUAAAUUAUUUAAAAAAAGAGGGAGUGGUCUGACUUGUGGGCCUGUUUAGUUGACGCAUAUGCAAGAUUUUUUUUGUUAUUAUAUACUACGUCAACAAACGAUUCUAACAGACGUAACCGUUGGAUGUCAAUCCAACGGCCGUCGUGUUUCUUCAAUCUCUGAUCUUCUUGCUCCAGCCGCCAAAGCAGUGCCGGCGGGACUACCUCCCGCCUCCCGUGGCCGGCUGUGUUGCUGCACAGGCCUCAGUGCCCCCUACUACUCCCAUCGCUGGCCAGGGCAUCCCUCUACUCACCCACACCCCCUGUUAUUCUGCGGCGACGGCAGCCUCACGCCGCAGCCGAACCGGUGAACCCUUGUACUCCUCUCCGCGCGGGCUUCCACUGCCGCGUCUUCCCCAGCUCCGCGUUGUCCCCUUCCUAGGCCUCGCCGUUUCCACCGCCGUGGUGCUCUCGGCGCGGCGUGGUCAAUGUGGUCAACGACCGACUUUCAUCGGAAGAGUACUGUACGUGGAGAGGCUGACAGUUGGAUCCACGGCAGCCGCAAGGAAGUGCCUUCUUAUUACGCGGAAAAUAAUUAUUCCUCUACCUAACAGCAGGGACCCACCGGACGGGCCACCAGUAUUUCACGAAAAAAAAUUCCACCUGACUGCUGGGACCCACAGGACGGGCCACCGUAUUUUGCGAAAAAAACGUUCCCCCCACUGUCAGCUCGGACCCAACGGAAGUGCCUCCUUAUUACGCACAAAAAAAUGAAUACCCCCUGCUAGCUGGGACCAACCUUGGUGGGAGGCUGACUUGUGGGCCUACUAAGUUGACUGGGACGGAGGCCUUUGUCAACUUUAGUCAAUAUAUGAACGAUUCUAGCUCCAGUGACCAUAUGAUGUCCAUCCAACGGCCGUAGUGCUUCUUCAACCUCUGGUCUUCUUGCUCCAGCCGCCCAAAGCAGCGCCGGUCAUGCUGCCUACUCCUGCCGCCCGUGGCCGGCUGUGAUGCCGCGGAGGCCUCACCGCCCCCUACUACUCUCACCGCUGGCCAGGCCAUCCCUCUACGCACCCACACCCCCUGUUAUUCUGCGGUGAUGGCAGCCUCGCACCGCAGCUGAACGAGUGAACCCUCAUACUCCUCUACGUGUGGGCAUCCACUGCCGCGUCUUCCCCGGCUCCGCGUUGUCCCCUUCCUAGGCCUCGCCGUCGUCCACCGCCCUGGUGCUCUCGGCGCGGCGUGGUCAAUGUGGUCAAGGAAUGGCUUCCAUCGGACGUGGACUGUACGUGGAGAGGCUGACAACUGGGUCCACGGCCGCAGCAAGGAAGUGCCUCCUUAUUACGCGCAAAAUAAUUAUUCCUCCACCUGACAGCAGGGACCCACCGGAUGGGCCACCAUAUUUCGCAAAAAAAAUGUUCCCCCUGUCUGCUGGGACCCACCAGCUACGUCUUUGCACGCAAGGAAGUGUGUCCAAAAAAAAAACGAUUCGCCCCCAUGACUGCUGGGACCCACCAGCUACAUCUUCGCAUGCAAGGAAGUGCGUCCGGGCAAAAAAAACAAUUCUCCCCCCUGACUGCUGGGACCCACCAGCUAAAUCUUCGCACGCAAGGAAGUGCGUCCGGGCAAAAAAAAAAGAUUCACCCCCCUGACUGAUGGGAGCCACCACCUACAUCUUCGUAGGCAAGGAAGUGCCUGACAGUCGGGACCCACCUGGUCGAAGCGUACGUAGCGUUGUCAUUCUGGUCGCGAACGUGUACGUACAUAUUGGUCGAUGUAGAGGUGCGCACGUGUCGUAGUCGAGGUGCGCACGUAGCAUGUACACGUACGUACAGCGGUGAGGGUGCAAGAAAGAAAAUACGGCCACGUACGUACAUACGGGCAUGGUCUCGAACGCCUACUCGCGCAUACGUACAUGGCUGGGUCAGAACGGAGAACAGCGUCGUCGUCGUGUUCAUGGGGAGCCAACCGGCUAGGUCGGAACGGAAUGCGUGGUCGUGUUCAUCAGGAGGGCUUGGACGGAACAGGUGAUGGAAACGAGGCCUGGCGUAUUGCACAAUGGAGGAAACGGACCUCCUACGUUCGGAACGGGGUCCCCGUUGAUCGGGAGGGGUGUGGCGUACUGCAAAACGGAGGAAACGGACCUCCUACGGUCGAAACGGGGGUCCUGUUGAUCGGGAGGGGUGUGGCGUACUGCAAAACGGACGAAACGGACUUGUGUUGGAGCGCUACAGUCAAAACGGGGGUCCUGUUCAUUGGGAGGGGUGUGGCAUACCGCAAAACGGAUGAAACGGACUUGUGUUGGAGCGCUACGGUCGAAAUAGGGGUCCUGUUCAUCGGGAAGGGUGUGGCGUACCGCAAAAUGGGAUUCCACGGGAUACUGUUCAUCUCCACCGUCGACCUCCUCCAGCCUCCACGGGCUACCGUCGACCUCCUCCAGCCUCCACGGGCUCCUGUUCAUCCAGCCUUCACCGCGCGCUAAUCCACGGGCUACUGUUCAACCACCCCUCCACCGUCUACCGUUCAUCCAGCCCUCCACCAUCUACCGUUCAUCCAGCCCUCCACACCACGGGGGCCUGUUCAACUACCCCUCUAUGGCCACCCCUCCAUCAUCUACUGUUCAUCCAGCCCUCCACACCACGGGGUCAUGUUCAUCCAGAGGCAACGCCACCGCUCACUGUUCAUCCACCCCCCCCCUCCCGCAACGCUCACUGUUUAUCCAAUCGAUCGGCUUCAGUUAGCAGCAGUAGCGAAGGAAUCGCUCCAUCGGGUUCAGUUAAUAGCCAUCGAUCGAUCGCUCGGGUUCAGUAACGCGUAGACUACAGUGCAAUCGCUCGGGUUCAGUUAGAGCACAACGCCUCGCUUGGAUUCAGUUAGAGCCAACGCCUCGCACACACGCGCGUACGUGUACGAGAGAAAGGCGCAUCGCUUGGCCCCCGACCUUGCACCGUAACCGGCAAAUCCCCGAAAUUUUCCUCCCCCUCGCUUCUACCAUGGUUUUUUCUGUCAUGGACGGCCCAAAGAAUGUCAUGCAGCUGCGUCUUCGGCCUGCCCAGGACGAAAAGCCCAUUUUCUGUCAUGAUUUUUUGUCAUAGAAGUAGGAGCCCACCACAUCUAUGAUGAUACCGGGUUUUGUCACAAUUAUCGUCAUAGAAGUGUCAUAUGUAUGACAGAAAAAAAUUUCUUUCAGCCCAAAAUGUCACGGAUGUGUCUUUUUUUUGUAGUGAUAUGAGUUCUUUUGACUAAUGUUGAGUCCAUGGAUUAUACGCACUUUUACCUUUCUGCCAUUGCUAGCCUCUUCGGUACCGUUCAUUGCCCUUUCUCACCUUGAGAGUUGGUGCAAACAUCGCCGGUGCAUCCAAACCCCGUGAUACGAUACACUCUAUCACACAUAAACCUCCUUAUAUCUUCCUCAAAACAGCCACCAUAUCUACCUAUUAUGGCAUUUCCAUAGCCAUUCCGAGAUAUAUUGCCAUGCAACUUUCCACCGUUAUGUUCUUCAUCAUCAUGACAUACUUUACUUUUGUCAUAUUGCCAUUGCAUGAUCAUGUAGUUGAAAUCGUAUUUGUGGCAAAGCCACCAUGCAUUAUUUUCCAUACAUGUCACUCUUGAUUCAUUGCACCAUCCCGGUACACCGCCGGAGGCAUUCAUAUAGAGUCAUAUCUUGUUCUAGUUUCGAGUUGUAAUUCAUAUGUUGUAAUCGAUGAAAGUGUGAUGAUCAUCAUUAUUAGAACAUUGCCCAAAAAAUAGAAAAAAAGGAAAGGCCAAAAGAAAAAAAAUAAAGGCCCAAAAAAGAAAAAAAGGGCAAUGUUACUAUCUCUUUUUCCACACUUGUGCUUCAAAGUAGCACCUUGUUCUUCAUGUAGUGAGUCUCAUAUAUUGUGCUUCAAAGUAGCACCAUGUUUUUCAUUUAGUGAGUCUCAUAGAUUGUCUUUUUCAUACUAGUGGGGAUUUUUCAUUAUAGACCUUGUCUUGUAUAUUCCUACGAUGGGCUUCCUCAAAUGCCCUAGGUCUUCGUGAGCAAGCAAGUUGGAUGCACACCCACUAGUUUCUUUUGUUGAGCAUUCAUUUAUAGCUCUAGUGCAUCCGUUGCAUGGCAAUCCCUACUCCUCAUGUUGACAUCAAUUGAUGGGCAUCUCCAUAGCCCGUUGAUUACCCUUGUCAAUGUGAGACUUUCUCCUUUUUUGUCUUCUCCACACAAUCCCCAUCAUCAUAUUCUAUUCCACCCAUAGUGCUAUAUCCAAGGCUCACGCUCAUGUAUUGCGUGAAGGUUGAAAAAGUUUGAGAUUAUUUAAGUAUGAAACAAUUGCUUGGCUUGUCAUGGGGGGUAUAGAAGUUGGGAACAUCUUUGUGUGACGAAAAUGAAGCAUAGCCUAACUAUAUGAAUUUGUAGGGAUGAACUUUCUUUUGCCAUGUUAUUUUGAGAAGACAUGAUUACUUUGAUUAGUAUGCUUGAAGUGUUACUAUUUCUUUUAUCAAUAUGAACUUUUAUUUUGAAUAAUUUGGAUCUGAACAUUCAUGCCACAAUAAAGAAAAUGACAUUGAGAAUUAUGCUAGGUAGCAUUCCACAUCAAAAAUUCUCUUUUUAUCAUUUACCUACUCGAGGACGAGCAGGAAUUAAGCUUGGGGAUGAUUGAUACGUCUCCAACGUAUCUAUAAUUUUUGAUUCUUCCAUGCUAUUAUAUUACCCCUUUUGGAUGUUUAUGGGCUUUAUUUUACACAUUUAUAUCAUUUUUGGGACUAACCUACUAACCGGAGGCCCAACCCGUAUUGCUGUUUUUUUUGCCUAUUUCAGUAUUUCAAAGAAAAGGAAUAUCAAACAGAGUCCAAACGGAAUGGAACCUUCGGGAGCAUGAUUUUUGGAACGAACGUGAUCCAGAAUACUUGGAGUGCAAGUCAAGAAGCAGCCGAGGCGGCCACGAGAUAGGAGCCCCCCCCCCUAUAGGGUGCGCCCCCCUGUCUCGUGGGCCCCUCGGGCAUCCACCGACGUACUUCUUCCUCCUAUAUAAGCCUACGUACCCCAAAAACAUCCAGGGAGCAGACGAAACACAAUUUCCACCAGCGUAACCUUUUGUAUCCGCGAGAUCUCAUCUUGGAGCCUUCGCCGGCACUCUGCCAGAAGGGGGAAUCGGCCACGGAGGGCUUCUACAUCAACAUCCUUGCCCCUCCGAUGAGUUGUGAGUAGUUUACCACAGACCUACGGGUCCAUAGUUAUUAGCUAGAUGGCUUCUUCUCUCUUUUUGGAUCUCAAUACAAUGUUCUCCCCCUCUCUUGUGUAGAUCUAUUCGAUGUAAACUCUUUUUGCAGUGUGUUUGUCGAGAUUCGAUGAAUUGUGGGUUUAUGAUCAAGUUUAUCUAUGAAUAAUAUUUGAAUCUUCUCUGAAUUCUUUUAUGUAUGAUUGAGUUAUCUUUGCAAGUCUCUUCGAAUUAUCAGUUUGGUUUGGCCUACUAGUUUGAUCUUUCUUGCCAUGGGAGAAGUUCUUAGCUUUGGGUUCAAUCUGGUGGUGUCCUUACCCAGUGACAGAAAGGGUUGCAAGGCACGUAUUGUAUUGUUGCCAUCGAGGAUAACAAGAUGGGGUUUAUAUCAUAAUGCUUGAGUUUAUCCCUCUACAUCAUGUCAUCUUGCUUAAUGCGUUACUCUGUUCUUAUGAACUUAAUACUCUAGAUGCAGGCAGGAGUCGGUCGAUGUGUGGAGUAAUAGUAGUAGAUGCAGGCACGAGUCGGUCUACUUGUCAUGGAUGUGAUGCCUAUAUACAUGAUCAUGCCUAGAUAAUCUCAUAAUUAUUCGCUUUUCUAUCAAUUGCUCGACAGUAAUUUGUUCAGCCACCGUAAUACUUAUGCUAUCUUGAGAGAAGCCACUAGUGAAACCUAUGGCCCCCGGGUCUAUCUCUUAUCAUAUUUGCUUCCAAUCUACUUUUAUUUGCAUCUUUACUUUUUGCAUCUAUAUUAUAAAAUACCAAAAAUAUAUUUAUCUUAUCUUACUAUCUUUAUUAGAUCUCACUUUCGCAAGUGGCUGUGAAGGGAUUGACAACCCCUUUAUUGCGUUGGUUGCGAGUUCUUUGUUUGUUUGUGUAGGUGCGUGGGACUUUUGAGGAGCCUCCUACUGGAUUGAUACUUGGUUCUCAAAAAAUGAGGGAAAUACUUACGCUACUCUGCUGCAUCACCCUUUCCUCUUCAAGGAAAACCAACGCAAGCUCAAGACGUAGCACAUGACAGCCAGUUUUCGGCUUUAUCUACUAAGGUGUUUGACCGGACGAACCAGAAACACAAUCGCAGUAGUUCUCCCUUUACUACCCUAGCCGAACAAGCAGAACGUAAGGUAGUAACCACAGGAGCCGGGCAACCCAACUAUUGACCAAAGACAUGAUUCGGAGUUGAUGCAUACAAUGCAAUAAUCGGGAUGCCGAAGUAUACUAAGAAAAGUGUUCGGACUUUUUUUUAAAUAUAUGUGGCCGAAUAGAGCCCAUGGCAUUUUAAGCCAUACCGAAGUGUACAUGUCAAUCUGACGUGAAGAGGGAAUACAGAUUAUGAAAUAAACCAAUAUCGAAUAGGAGUUGGUGAAAACCUGUUUCCUUUUCAAUCCGAUUGAUAUGUCAAAACGUGCCCUUACAGAUAAUGCCAUAAGCAUCAUGGCUAUUUUACAUACCGAGAAUUUGUAAACAAGGGAAAGCUGUAUACAGGUCCUAAAGAAGAAAAGGUAAUCUUGAAGAUCCCUUGGACAACCUGCCGCACAUUUGCGCCGCUUUCGCCUUGGUGAACAUCCUUUGAGAGGAGCAAUCGACGAUCGUUUAUACAAAAGGGGCCCGGAAAGAGCCCUUGCACGUCCAUAGGAUAGCUAUGUUUUAAUGCACCUAUGGUAUGGAAGAAAGAAGAAAAAAGAUCAACGAAGAAAGGUUAAGGUCAAAUAGGGUCAAGCCACACUAUAGACCUUGUCCGCAGUGUGCCUCCGUCGUUGUCCAGGGUAUUUUGAGUGUGUAAUUAUGCACGCGCGGUACAUAUGUCGCGGUUGUGUGGGGCGAUCGACGGAGGCGAGACUGCUAGUACAACUCUGGACCCAUAGAGCUGUCAUUCUGCGGAGUAGGUCGGACUCGCUUAAUGGUGUCCGGGGCCUUGAGGGCCAAUGAGUUAUCCGGCUUGAUGAGGCCGUUCUGUACUUUGGCUGCAUGGGCCGUGGUGUGCUCCUCAGUACGGAGAGAGCGCUCCAUGUUGCCAUUGACUGUAAUAACGCCGCACAGUCCAGGCAUUCUGAGCUUUAAGUAAGCAUAAUGCGAGACUGCAUUGAAGCGGGCAAAGGCGAUACGUCCGAGCAGUGCGUGAUAACCACUACGGAAAGGGACGAUGUUGAAGAUCAAGUCUUUGCUUUGGAAGUUGUCUGGUGAACCGAAGACUACUUCCAAUGUUAGUGAGCCUGUGCAGCGGGCCUUGACGUCGGGUAUCACUCCUUUAAAGGUGGUGUUACUAGGCUUGAUUCUUGACGGGUCAAUGCCCAUUUUACGGACAGUGUCUUGAUAGAUCAAGUUAAGACUGUUGUUGCCGUCCAUAAGGACUCGAGUGAGAUGGUAUCCAUCGAUAAUUGGAUCGAGGACCAGAGCUGCCGAACCUCCAUGACGGAUACUGGCGGGGUGGUCCCUGCGAUCGAAGGUGAUCGGACAAGCCAACCACGGGUUGAAUUUAGGGGCGACAGGCUCUACUGCAUAGACGUCCCUUAGUGCGCGCUUGCGCUCCCUUUUGGGGAUAUGUGUGACAUAUAUCAUGUUCACUGUUUUCACCUCAAGGGGAAAUUUCUUUUGUCCCCUGUAUUCUGUGGGCGGGGCUCAUCAUCGUCCUCGCUUGGCGGCCCUUUCCCCUUGUGUUCGGUAUUUAACUUACCGACCUGUUUGAAGACCCAACAAUUUCUGUUCGAGUGAUUGGCAGGCUUGUCGGGGGUGCCAUGAAUCUGGCAAGGCCGAUCGAGUAUUUUGUCCAAAUUAGAUGGACCAUCUUUAUUUCCUUUGAAUGGCUUCUUCCGUUGACCGGAUUUAGAGCCACUGAAUCCAGCGUUAAUCGUUGUGUCUUCAGUUUCUUCAUUGUUGUUUCGACGCUUAUGUUUGUUGCGUCGUGGCCCACCAUUGCCGUCCCUGAGUUUGGAGGUGCCAGGGUCGCUGGUAAUGUUGCUUCUAUAGCCAACCAGCUGUCUUCUCCCGCGCAGAAGCGAGUCAUGAGUGCGGUAAGAGCUGCUAUAGACUUCGGUUUUUCCUGAUCGAGGUGUCGGGAGAGCCAUUCGUCGCGGACGCUGUGUUUAAAGGCCGCGAGGACUUCGGCGUCCAGACAGUCGAUGAUGUGGUUCUUUUUAAUUAAGAACCUACUCCAGAGUUUGCAGGCUGACACUCCGGGUUGCUGGACUAUAUGACUAAGGUCGUCGGCAUCCGGGAGCCGGACAUAGGUACCUUGGAAGUUGUCCCGAAAAGCAUCCUCCAAGUCUUCCCAGCUACCAAUACAGUUCUCUGGUAGGCUGUUCAACCAGUACCGUGCCAGUCCUUUCAGCUUUAAGGGGAGGUAAUUAAUGGUGUGGAGAUCAUGGCCGCGAGCCAUGUGAAUAUGAAGGAAAUCCUCAAUCCAUACCGCGGGAUCUGUCGUUCCAUCAUAUGAUUGGAUGUUUACGGGUUUAAACCCUUUUGGAAAUUGGUGCUGCAUUACCUCAUCUGUAAAGCACAAGGGGUGUGCGGCGCCUCUGUAUCGGGCAACGUCACGACGGAGUUCGGAUGACAUCCGUGUUCGGUUUUCAGCCCGAGUUCAGUUAUGCUUAUCGCGCCAAGCUUGAAGGCCAUCAUCUCUCGUUGGAGCGCGUCCCCUUGAUCCGUAGAUUGAUCUGGUCUGGCCGGCUCUAUUGUCCAGGGCCUGAUGUAAGUCAUAGGUGUAGCCCGGAGCCUCUACCUCUUUGCCUCAACGGCGAGGUGGCACGGGCUGGUGUUCGGCGUAACCAGCCAAUCUGUCAUGCCCACGUGGUGGCCAGUCUGGUUCAUCAGCAUGAUUAUAUCUUGACGGUAUUGGCUCAAGGGCCUCGUUGUUGAAUUGUGGCAGUAGCCGACGCUUCGGAUAACUCUUUGUUGGGCGCUCGAGGCCGUAUUCCUCGGCAGCAAGGACAUGGGUCCAUCUAUCGUUGAGUGUAUCCUGUUCGGCUUGAAGCUGUUGCCAUUUCUUCUUUAGGCUCCUCGCAAUUGCGAUGAGCUGCCGCUUAAAGCGUUCUUGCUCGAGGGGUUCCUUUGGCAUGAUGAAGUCUUCGUUGCCGAGGCUGACUUCCUCCUCGGAGGCCGGUAAAUAGUUAUUGUCCUACGAAUCCUCAUUCUUGCCAAGUUCGUCUGGGUUGACUUGUCUGUCUUCCCAAUCAUCCUGCUCUACGGUAGGCUGGAUGGGGUGGUCAGAGUCUUCGGCAUUCUCCGGAGUGUCAUUGUCUCCGAUGCUGGUAUUACUUUCUUUUUCCCGCCGCGAUCGUGAACGGCGCCGCUGACGUCGACACUUCGGUGGUACCUCGACGGGCUUGUCGUCGAUCGGAUCCUGAUUGCCAUCGUUGUCCUCUUUGGGUGUAUCCACCAUGUACACGUCGUAUGUAGAAGUGGCAGUACAACGUCCGGUGAUAGGCGGGUUUUGGCCUCGUUCUGCUCCGGCAUCGUCGUCCAUACCGUCGAUGUCUUCAGAGGUGUAAUCGAGCAUGUCGGUUAAUUCCUCGAUAGUGGCUACCAAGUGGGUGGUGGGUGGGACGUAAAAUUCCCCGCACUCAGCCCCUAGUUCGGGUUGUGCGUAAUUCAGAGGUGAUACCUCCAUGAUGGCGAGAGAUCGCAUUAAGUCCAAGGCCUCGCUUAGGAGUGAAGGCCGGACGGGGAACUGAGGUCCUGCGGAGCUAGGCAUGGUACAUGACACAUGGCCGUGCUCAAUGGACGCGGACCUUGAGAGUUCGGAGUUAGCAUCAAGAGGCGGAUUUGGCUCUUCGAUGACAGGAAGAGUCCUGCUUAACUCCAAGCUUGUCGGAGACGCAGCAGCCUCAGGGUCUCCAGCAAAGAGCUCCGUAACAGGAGAGAGUCCGGUUGGUUUCAGACUCCCAUCUCCGGAUGAGGUGGCCUGCUCUGGAUCUAUGGCCACGGCAGGGAUGAUAGUUGGUCUUUCAGCGGUGCCCGAUGACGGAUCCGAUGGGUUUCCUUCUUGGAGAUGAGGAAUAGUGGUCGAGGUCGUGAACCCUUCAAAGAUCAAGUCUCCUCGGAUAUCAACGACGUAAUUCAGGCUCCCGAAUCUGAUUUGAUGACUAGGGGCGUAGCUGUCGAUCUGUUCAAGGCGACCAAUUUGAAUUGGCCUGAAGAGCGAAGCCGCUGAAUACAAAAAUUUGACUGGGGACGAAGAUCUCCCGGGAAACAACAUCGUUGUUUAUGAUCGAACGAGCCAUCGAGCCUUCUGCCGACGAUACAGUGGAACUCUCGAUGAAAGCACCAAUGUCGGUGUCAAAACCGGCCGAUCUCGGUAAGGGGUCUCGAACUGUGCGUCUGAGGAUCGAAGGUAACAGGAGACAAAGGGGGACACGAUGUUUACCCAGGUUUGGGCCCUCUUAAUGGAGGUAAAACCCUACUUCCUGCUUGAUUAACUUUGAUGAGUAUAGGGGGUUAGAAGAGUUGGUCUACCAUGAGAUCGUAAUGGCUAAACCCUAGAUGUCUAGCCUAUAUGAAUUCUGAUAGCCUCUAUGGACUAAACCCUUCGGUUUAUAUAGACACCGGAGGGGCCUAGGGUUGUACAGAGUCGGUUUACAGAGGAAGGAAACUAUACAUCCAGACGCCAAACUUGCCAUCCACGCAAAAGGAGAGUCCUAUCCGGACACGGGGGAAGGCCUUCUAUCUUGUAUCUUGACGGCCCAUCUGUCUCGCUCUCGCCCAUAUCACACAGCCCGGUCACCCGAGGACCCCAUAAUCCAGGACUCCCUCACCUCCCAAGCUCCGCGUCGACGCUGGAGCAGACGUCGUCGCAAUGUCGAAACCCGAGGACACACGUCCACCACGAGGAUGCCGCCGCCACACCAUCCUUGUUUGAGCAGUCUGGAUUUCAAAACCAUCCCCAAUGAUAGGACCAAUCGUCUCAUUAGAGUAGGAUCUGAAGAAAUUUUAUUCAGCACCGCCAUCGCCACCGCCAAAGCCAAGACAAUGAACAACCUAAAAAACUAAGCUACUUUGGCCUAAAACUAUCCACACGCGUGGAUUCGGCAACCCUCCUCACCGCCGACGAUCGAAGUAGUCGACAGAGGGGAGCCGUCGGAGAACUACGGCGGAGCGCGAGUACCUGGCGGCGGAAAGCUAGAUCGCUUUUCCUGUCUUUGGGAGGAAGAUCACAUGAUUCUAAUUUUAAAACCACGGAAUGUCCUAAGAUUAACAAAAUCAUAUUUAAGAUGUAUUAUACACCUGUAUCUCCAUGUUUUUUUCAACGAACAUGCAUAAAUGAAAGUAUGUAUUUUCAAUAGACGCAAAAUCUCUUCUUGAAAAGAAAGAUCACAGAAUCUGUCAAGAAUUUCCUUUUUUUUUGUAUGUACCAUAUUUAUAUAGACAAAUUGCCCUUAAUCAAUUGACGGCCAUGAUUAAAUUAUCCUCGUACCCCCCUCUUAAAAUUUCUCAUCCUAGUGAGUUGAUUCGCUCAAAGAAAUGUUAUAUAUUCACUACGCCUUUUCAGCACAGUUUGCUACAUGACACAUAAGUGUAUAAAAUGCAAUAUAGGUAGUUCAUACCAAGCUGUAGAUUUGCUUCAGAAACAAUUCAGGCACACAUGAAUACAAGACGGUUUAUCUUAUCGACAAUCCAGACUAUAAAACCAUGCUGAGUUACUCUUCAAGUCUGAAGUACAAGCAGGGAUUACAAACUAUAUUGCCACUUUAUUUAGUCGAUCAUUCAGACGAGGAAAAGCAUGUCGAAUGCUGUUCCAGGUCCAAAGUACAAGCAGACAUUACAUACUAUAUGACCACUCUUUAUUUGGUCGAUCAUUCAGACUAGAAAAGGGACGCUCAAUUUUUUUGUCCGAAGUAUAAGCAGACAUUAGUGAAGCUACAUACCCCCCUUCUCCCAGUACCAGCCAUCUCAUUAUCUCAAGGUGCCUUGCAGGGCAACUUCGACAUCAUAUUCGCGGCUUUCUGCAGAUGUGAAAGAAAAAAGGAAUAAAAUGCUUAGAACGAUCUGUCAAAUUCAGAGCCAGGAGCAUGGUAACCUUAUGGGCUAAACAUAGGACAACUGCUUGAAUUUGUGUAACUAUGUCUCUUCAUUCAGCAGUUAUCUAUAACUAAGAUUCGCUGAUAGUCAUACAAUGGGACAAAAUGUACUAGGAACUAGGAACUGGUAGCACUUGAAGCAAUUAAAUAAUCCUUCUGAGACAGGCAGGCCCUUGGCACUCAGGGGUCAUGGAAAUCUUAUCUUUGGUAAAUUUGUAAAUUUUAGCAAUUUCAAGCUGGACUCAGGGUGUUUUAACUUAGCUUCUCUCUACACUACAAUGGCCCUCAGAUUAGGUUGAAUCUUGGCUUCGAAAUAGCACUUAUUUCAGUAUAUGCAUGAAAAUGGGUUAUCAGGAACAGAGAAUAGGAUGAGAACGCCUGAAGAAAUUACAAACCUGUUCAGUGUGAGGCAGAUACUUCCCAUCAAAUGUGAGCACCACACGGUCUUUUCCAUCAGCCCCUUUAACUUUGUCGACGGUACAGUAGAAGUCUAUAGCUGACAUGCUGCAAUUGAAAGUGAUAAGAUAACAAGUGAAUUUCUCAAGGACUGUUAUUUGUCAUUUCAUUGAUUAUGCAAUUAAGUUUCCAGAAAUGAACAUCAUAUUUGGAUUUAGAAUUGUACACAUGUGAGACAGUUUGGAAAGUAUAUUGAUGUUCUAGAAACAAAAGCAAAAUCUUGAAAGAAUCCAAAUCAUCUGAAAUUCCGCACUUGUUAAGUUUCAGGUAAAGUUACUAAUGCACACGCAAAAUAAAUCGAACAAGCAAUGAUUUGUCUAAUAUCAAAUAUUAACCAGAAAAUAAUGUAAAACUCAAAUUUAAAUAGGUGAAUCUUCUUACAUUCCAUCACCAAAGUCCUCAUUGAUGAUUGCCUUGAUGCUCUCUCCAAAAUGCAUGAUAGCUUCAUUCAGUCUGUGUUCAACCAUGAAACAGCCAGUGAGGAAAAGUCCUUAUGGAGUAGUAAGUAGCAUUGCGGCAAUUUCCCUUCCGGCAUGCCCCAAUCCAGCCACAAUCUCUUUCCCAUUUGACGCCAACAAGUUGUUAUCUUGCUUUAUCAUAUCGUGGGCUAAAGUUGUACUGAAAAAAAACAGCAGUGGCAAGAGUGGCACCUGUAUAUGGCGGGCUCGUGGACCAUUUCAGGGUUGUACGAGCGGAAGGGCGGCUGCAUCAUGAGUUCCACGAGCUCUUCGGUGAGCGCCGGGAUGGCCGCCCGCAGCGCGGCCGCCGUGUCGGGCUUGAGCUGCGCCUGGCGGCGCAGCAGCUGCGCGACGUACACGUUGGUGAGCCCCGUCUCGGCCCCGAUGUCGGAGAAGCUCUUGCCGGACUUGGCCUUGGCCGCCAUCAGCUUCUGCACCGCCGCCGCUCUCGCGCCGCCGUCCUCCAUGGCCGCCUGCGUCGCCCGGGAUGUGCUCGACGGAAUGGCGAGGUUGGGAAGCGUAGGAGUGGGAGUGCAAAGGACGAAGGAAGGGAGUGAUGGGAGUGAACUGGCCCCGGUUGCGCCGGCUUAUAUGGCCGCCCGGAUAUGCCAUCGGGCAUGGCCGCAUGGGGUGCCGCACCAGCACCACGGCGGCUAAGCGACGGGGAAAGUGUCGGCAGUGAGUGGCGGCACGCGGCGGCUAUGCGACGGGGAAAGCACACGGCGGGGGUCCUGCUACAGUCACCGGCACGCGGCGGCUAAGCGAUGGGAUGUUUUGGCACUGGGCCGGCGAAUAAGUGUUUCAUUGGCCCGGUCCAGCUGAGUUCUCUAUGGGCCGGUGCGGUCCACUCUGGGCCUUUAUCUUGCCCUACCCCGUCACUCUCUCGCCCUGGCUGUGGCUGGGACUGGAGCACUCAUCUCCGCGGCGCCGUGCGGCGUUCUCCGUUCCUCUCCGGCCCCUCCAGCCUCCGUCACCUCUCGCCGCCGAUCAGCAGCGCAUUAGCUUGGGACCUCGACCCAACCCUCCUCCGGGUGACCUCAUACCAUCGUUUUAACCCUCUCCGGGUCUUUUCCGUCGGCACCGCACGCCAUGCGCGCCGCUUGUUCGCGCAAAUGCCUGGCCGAGCUGCUCGGCCGCCUUGGCCAGGUCCAGGCGCAGGGCCAACCGCGCUGCCCCUCCCAGCUAUCUCCCGCGCGCUCCAUGACGCGCGGCCGGAGCGUGAACGAGCGGAGCAAGAAGAAGCGGGUGAACGACCUCGAGGUGGUCAUCGAGCGCUGCAAGGUGGUCUCCAAGGUGCUCGCCGUGGUGGACGCGCUCAAGAUGGAGGAGGAGCACGUCACCCCUCUCAAGCGCCUCGAGAUCCUGCGCCCGCAGCUCGGGCUCGCCAAGCCGCACAAGGUAGCCCACUUCGUGCACAGCUCGCCGCAGCUCUUCGAGGUCUGCCGUGACAGCCGCGGCGUCAUGUGGGCCGGCCUCUCUCCGCAGGCUGAGGCGCUCGUUGAGGAGGAGGCGCGCCUGCUGGAGGAGCACUCCCCCACGGCUGCGGAGUACGUGACCAGGCUGCUCAUGAUGUCGGUGCAACGGCGCCUGCCCGUUGACAAGAUCGCGCAUUUCCGGCGUGACAUGGGGCUUCCUCAUGAUUUCCGGGCAUGGUGGGUGCACUUGUUCCCUGAGCUCUUCAGGUUGGUCACACUGGAGGAUGGUGACUACUUGGAGCUUGUUUCCUGGAACCCAAACUGGGCGGUCACUGAGCAUGAGAAGAAUAUGGCAGCAUUGGCCGGUAACACCAAUGCCAUUUCCAAUGCUAGUACACCAGGAGAGCUCUCACUUCCAUUCCAGAUGAAGUUCCCACCAGAUUUUAAAAGUUACUACAAAUUUAGAGGAAAAGCUCAUCACUAUGUGAAAACCGGCAAUACCGAGCAGUUUCAGAAGACAACCUACCUGUCCCCUUAUGCAGAGGCAAAAGGUUUGACGCCUGGAUCUCAUGAGUUUGACAAGAGGGCAGUCGCGGUGAUGCAUGAGAUACUGAGCUUCAUGUUGGAGAAGAGGCUGGUAACUGACCACCUGACGCAUUUCCGUCGUGAGUUUGUUAUGCCACAGAAGCUGAUGAGGUUGCUACUGAAGCAUUAUGGUAUCUUCUAUGUGUCUGAGAGGGGGAAGCGGCUGAGCGUGUUCUUGACAGAGGCAUAUGAUGGGACAGAGUUGAUAAAAAAGGCUCCGCUGGUAAGGUGGAGAGAGAAGGUUCUUCGACUUACUGGUUACAGAGGAAAAAACAAGAAUAUUGGAAAAGUUCAUGAGUCGUCUGAUUCUGAGCACAUUUUGUUCGAUGCGAGCUCAUCAACAUGUGACAGUGGUAGCAGUGAUGACGAUGAUGCUGAUACUAUAUUGCAUGUCGAAAGUGAAGAUUCAGAUGAUUUCUUGGAUGAUGGCACUCUUACAGAUGAUGGUGAGAUGGAUGACGCUGGGGUGGGUUUUUUCUAGUGAGAAACAUGUUGAGAUGGUUUUAGGAGAUGCAAGUGAUUAUGCAGAGUCAGUGAAAUCCAGUUAGUAGCCUACUAGCCUAACAUAAUGAACAUUAAGCUCAUAAGCGAGCAGGAAGGUUUCAUAUGUGAGCUUGUUUAGGUUUUCCUUGGCUGAUGUUGAUGAUAUUGUGGUCAAUGAUCCAAACAUGGCUGGAUAUCCUGGAAAGUCAACGCUGCAGGAUCUCAUAACAUAUACCCCCUGUCUUGGAUCAACCAUGGUGAUGCUGUUGUUUACUACCUGAUGUCGAAGGUGGACUUUGAAUACCGGUAAGCAUGGAUGAUUGGCAUUGAUAUGAAAACAAAGACUCUGCAAGGGAGUGGCCUUGCUUUCCACCGAUAAAUCCCUCAAUUCCAGUCCUGCCUACCAUGCAUGUUCACUCUCUGGAUAUCUGGACAAGACUUCAAGUAAUUCUAUUGGGGGUUACUCUUUACAACGCCGGUGCUCGUAGGAGUGCCUGCUCUUAGUCCUUUAGUUGACUGUUUUUUCAGUUCAUGUAUCAGUAUUGACGUAUUUGGGCUGGAAUAUUUUGUUCUGCACCGUUUGUGGUCGUUCAUCUACUAGCGGUGGAACCUGAGUAGGAACCAUGUGUUUUAAUGCACAUUUGCAUGUAUGAUAAUUUGAUCUCAACCAGACUUGCCAUAACAGACGUAAGGUCAGCCAUAUCCUAUUGCUGUAAAACUGCCUGCAUCCAGUGAUAAUUCCGUGCUCAUUAGUGUAGUUUUUCACUUUUACUGGUUGGCAGACACUAAUGCUAAGUCUUCAGUCGCACUUGUAUUUCUUAUUUUUCUACAUUUCAACUUUAUCCACGUUUGCAAAAUAUUCGCAUACAGUUCUUUUCUGCUACAGCUGAGCAUAAUACUUUGCUUACUUUCCCCUCUGCAAAAAAGGGCAACUCGUUGUGCCCUUAUACCUCCUACAAUCUACAGAAGGGGCAUUUGUUAAUGUCCUUUGUUAAUUGCAAUUCUAAUUGUUGGUAUGGUACAUAGGUAUCUCUUAUGUGUCUCAGACAAGGCAAACCCCUAAGCGUGUUCUUGACGGAGGCAUAUUAUGGGACAUACUUGAUUAGAAAAAAGGCGUUGUUAUUGCGGUGGAAGGAGAAGGUCUUUAACUUACUGGUUAUAAAGGACAUAGGAAGAAUAGUACAAAAUGUUAUGGAUCGGCUGGUUGAGCAGGACUAUUUGUUUGGUGCUUGUGGAUUGUGGUGGACUGGUGAUGAUGAUGAUGCUAUACUGAAUCUCAAAAGUGAUAAGCCAGAUGAUGUCUUGGAUGAGGGCACUCUUUCGGAGGAUGCUGAGAUGUAUAAGUGUUAUAGCGGGUUUUAGCGGUUACACAGAGUGAGUUAGUGAAAUCCGGUUAGUAACCCAAUAUAAAGAACAAUUUUCUGUUUUAGUCCUGGACAUCAAGCCCUUAAGUGAUUCUGACAAUUAUUUCGAAAUUAGGGCUAUGGUUGGUUUCUAUCUUGAUGCUUAGGUGUACAUAUUAUAUUCACCUUGCUCAUUACUUGGAGACUUGGUGUCUGACAUGCUGUCCCAAGCUUGAAUACAGACUGGAUAUUUCAGGCUUGCAUUGAUUAUUUCUUAUGCUGAUCUACUUGUUCUGCUUUUUUCUUCGAAAAAGACCAUUGUGGUGAAUAUUCCUCAGCACAUCGUGUACUGAAGAUAUGACAUUAUCCAAGCAAUCUACUGUGAAGCGAGCCCUGUCCUUUUCUGACUUCAGCAAUCCAGGGAUGGAUUCAAAAUUCUGGUAUGUACUAAAUAUUUCUGUGUCAAGUAAGCAAUUCUUAAACAAUGUCUUCACGCAUCAGCAGUAAGAACAUGUUAAUUCAGUUUGCAAAAUGAAAUCUUCAAUGACAUUGUGAUUUGCUUACACUACAAUUGUAUUGAGCAACAAGGCUAUAGCAAAUGGCACAGAAAAAAUCUAUAUAGGGGGCAAUAAAAGUUGAGACCACAUUCUCGUGUACAUGCAUCUUCUCCUCAUUUUGGGUGUUGAAACAACUUAACAGUUGAUGUCAAGAUCUUCCUCUUGAGCCAAUAGUUCUAGUCAGUGUUGAGCUUGAGCUCAAAUGUUCAUUGGCGAAUCCCAACUGUAGACUGAAACUCCAUGUGUAAUCUUUCUAAGCCUCAUUAUAUGUAAUCCAUGUUGUUGUGGCUAUGGUUUUGCCAGAGUUUAUAUGUUUUGUUAAGUGCACCCUGCCUUGUUGGUAAGCAACAGCCUGUAAUAUUAGGUGUAUUUCAUGAGUUGUUUGGUCCCCUUGAUUUGUUUCUGUUCUUCUGUUAGUUGAUCUCUUGCACUGUACAUUGUACUCCACUGUCCAUCCCGUUACUGCGAGAAAGUCGUAAAUAGAAGGGGAAAUACAUCACCUAUCAAAAUUAGUUUUGCACUGCCUGUGUACAGUUUCAGCAAUUCGGCUAAACCAUGGUCAUCUUUUGCGAGUUGUGAUAUGCCGUCUCACACCGGCCAGCAAAUCCUUCUCGAUGCCAGACAUGCCAUGCUACUGUUUUGGCCAUCUCCGGCCCAAGCAUGCUGGUUAUCCUAUAUGUGGCAUGCAUGUAGCUGAAAGGAAUCUACUUACCUACCUAUAUGUGUCAAGAUUAAGCAACAAAACAACAAACAACAACAACAACAAAUUAACAAAUGAUAUCAAGAACUUUAUCUUGAUCCAAUACUUGUAGCCAUUCCUGAGCCUGAGCUCAAAUGCUCAUGACGAAAGUGUAGACUCCAGCUCCUUGAGAAACCUUUGUAAGCCCGAUUAUUUCUAUGCUGUUGGUGCUACAGCUUUGCCAGAGUUGAUGUGUUGUAUCAAGUACACACUGCCUUGGUUGUCAGCAACAGCCUGUAAAACUAUUAGCCGUAUAUUUCAGGAGUUAUUUGGUCCCCUCAGUUUGCUUUGUUCUGCUAUCGAGCAAGUCGUAAGUUCUACACUAUACAUGGUAUCGACCUUUUUGUUUUCCUUUUCUUGUUAGAAAGAGUACAUGGCACACAUAUUGUUAACAGCUUCAGCAAUUUGGCUAAAGUGUGGGUACCUUUGAGUCAUGGUAUCGACUGGCAUGUUCCGUUUCGUCUUUCCUCUAUGAUGAUAUGCCAUCUCUCUCUCUCACACACACGCCAUGCUGCUACUGUAUUGGCCAUCUCCUGCCCAAGCAUGCUCGUUAAUAAGUUAGCGAAGGUAGUACUGUUUUUGCCUCUAAAAAAGGGGGUACUGUUUUGUGCUGGAUGUAGCUGAAAAGAACCCACUUACCUACCUAUACAUGUGUCAAAAUUAAGCAACACAAGUACCGCCAUUUCUCAUGCUAGCCUCAAGAUGGAAAGAAGAACAGCUGUAGCGUGUACAUACAGAUCCAACUGAUUCUUGCUGAUAAUUUACACAUCAUUGGUGCCAUUGAUAAGCACCUAUAUCCCUGACAGAGUGUGUUGCCUUUGAUUAUCUUUUUUGUCAGGGAAAAAUAUCACCGGCCGGAAGUAUAGUGCAUGGAAUUAUUCAUUCAUCCACCGCCACCACCACUGGCUCUGGCUCUGUGUUGCUCCGAGAAAACAUGCUCACAUGGCGAUCAGAGGGCCGGCUUAAUGCGAGCACAUGGGCCUAGUACGUGCACGGCCGGCCUCCCCCGGCACGAAUUUAUUUCCUGGAUGGGUGCAACCAUGAAUGUUCUUACCGCACUGCACAACGCGGAUCUGCCCAUCCAACCGGCCACACCAGACGCGUAUUGGGAUGGCGCCAUGGCAACGGCGGUACCGCGGUCGGUUCAUCGCAUCGCGUGAGACGUUCAUACGGGUUGAUUAUGGGCCUCACGCCACCUCACCAGUUGAGGAUCGUUCCAUCAUUUUCUCCAUGGUUUCUUGUUGGAAGUUGGAAGUGGCUGCAGCCUCCUGCUGGAGUGCGGGGCACUUGCCGGAAAACGGCAUUUGCAAAUUGCAGCAAUAGGAGGAGUGUCUGCGUCCGAAAAUACCCAAACCGUUCGUGCUAAUCCCUUUAAUUUGGUGCCUCUUGAUUGAUUGGAUCGUAGGCCGUGGACUGGUGGUCGAACUGACGGUGACAGGAUUUCUUUUCUUUUGAGUGCGUGAUGGCGAAAUGCGGGCACAGAUCGUGGUCAUGGGUUUAUGAGAAAGGGAGAGGAUCGAGUUUUCUAGUUAUGUUUCCAAGUCCAGCUCCCAACGGCGCACACACACAUAUACGCAUGCACUAUACUGGUAUAUGAUCAAUCAAAUUAUUAAAUGGAUUUUGGUAGCGAGAAAGUAGUUAGCCGUUGCUGACCAAGUUCAGGGUUUCGUCAAAAACUGUUGCUUUUGGUUUGGAAAAUUGUACGCAGGCCUUGACCAUUUCAAAAUUUGUGAAUAAUCGAUUGGGCAUGCAUGGGAAUGCAUUUUCGUGGACGUACGGGGACUAGUGAAGAUGCAUGGGUUGGCGCCAGAAGGCUAGACCUGGUUCGCUGACAAUGGUGCUGCAUGCAUGCAUGCAUGUAGGCUGCUACACCUAAUAAAGAGGCCGUCCAUGAAAUGAAAUGGAUCUGAUCUGCUGAUCCGGCCGGCCUCUUCAUUCUGCCAUCACGCUUCACGCAAUCAAUAACGUCCGGCUACAGCUAUAGCCCGCUGCGCAAAUGCCAGAUCCAAUCCACUUCAUCUUCAUCCCAGUACUCCUCAAAUCAAAACAUAUAAAAAAAAACAGAUCACCCCAUAAACACUAAAAUUAAAAUUAAUACAGUUCCCUAUAAUAAAACGCAUAUAUAUUCUGUUAUUUCAACGGCCAAAAACUCUUUAAUCGCACACAGGCAGGCAGACUCCAAAUGCAAAACGCAUGCAGCUGAAGCGUGCCACACACAGGAAAGCAAUCACCUUGCACAUUUUUCUCUCCCGAGCCGUUGCCCUUGCACAUGCUGUCUCAAAAGCUACUUGGCUUCGUGCUCCGGGACAGCAUGUCAGCCUCACAGCAAGAGGGAGAUCAUGUAUGUGUGUCCAUGACCACUUGACCAUGCAUGCAUGAACAGUCUGAACACCGAACACCAUGCCCCCAAGCAAGUGAGCUUCUCUUCCCUCUCUGGCCUGGCUUGGCUUGUGCUCCCUAAUGGCAUUAACUGCCACCCAACAACCCGCCCACCCACCAUCUCCUCCCCAACCCCAACCCCAGCAGCAACGCCACCAUCCCUAGCUAUAUCUAAACACUGAGCACUCCACUCCCUCUCACCCUCAUCACCACUGCCCACCACCAGUCCCGCCCGCCCCCAGCUGCCCACAGGCGCCAUGGCGCGGGAGGAGCUGUCGACGGAGAUCGUGAACCGCGGCGUGGAGCCGUCGGGCCCGGACGCUGGCUCGCCGACCUUCUCGGUGCGCGUGCGCCGCCGGCUGCCGGACUUCCUGCAGUCGGUGAACCUCAAGUACGUGCGGCUCGGGUACCACUACCUGCUCAGCCACGGCGUGUACCUGGCCACCAUCCCGGUCAUCGUGCUGGUGUGCGGCGCCGAGGUGGGCAGCCUCAGCCGCGACGAGCUGUGGCGCAAGGUGUGGGACGAGGCCACCUACGACCUCGCCACCGUGCUCGCCUUCCUCGCCGUCCUCGCCUUCACCAUCUCCGUCUACAUCAUGUCCCGCCCCAGGCCCAUCUACCUCAUCGACUUCGCCACUUACAAGCCCGCCGACGAACUCAAGGUAGUAAGCUCAUCCAUCUCCUCAUGCUUUAGUUUGGUAAACAUGCUUACUGCUUAGCUAAUUACAGAGUAGAUCACUGCAUCUAUUUGCAUGCGAGCAUAUGUUAUACCCAUAGUAGUAGUAGUAGUACAUGCUAAAUGCCGAUCCGGGUCGUGUAGGAACAUGAAUCACAAGUGAAUUUAUUGGUAGGAUUUCUUUUUGCUAAUUAACUUCAAACACGAAACCUUGAUGGCAUUUUAGAUGUAGAAAAGUAUGGAAAAAGUUAGACCAGAGAAAUGUUUGGGAGUAUUAUCAGUUUCUUGGGCGGAAGAUCCAUCUCUCGAGGUCGACAUGUAUAAUCGCACAAGUCACGUUUGGCACACACGAAUUUUGCGUGAGACGUAUAGAUGGAUGGAACCCUAUGGAAUUCCCUCGCGUGCUAAUCUAGCUAUCUUGUGAACAGGACCUCCUCACUAGAUAACAUGAAUGCGAAAAACAUGUCCCAAAGUACUUCAGUUAGCCCUUUCUUUUCUUCUGUCGUAGAAAUAUUUGCUCUUCAUCUGAGAAAUAAUGCAAAACGCUAUGCAGCCGUGAUAAUCAAACCGAGUAAAAUGUUUGCGGGUAAAAAUAUUUUAGUAAUUCAUGGUUCAAAAGAUGAUUAGCACGGCCGGUAGACGGUGCUAACAAGGCUCACAAAAGAUGCAAACAAGAAACAAGUCCGAGCCGGAUUAGGCAGAGCUUCAUCUAAAAGUUGAAUGCAAUUAAACCGUGAGGCCCUAAAGUUAAUUUUCAUAAGCUGUCAUUCGAAAUCAGGUAGUACAGAAAAGUUUUUGGCAUUUUGGGUGAAAUAGACAACCAACAAAGUACACACGUAGCUAGCUGGUUGAAUAUACGAAAAUGCCGUUUGGAGGCCGAGCACCCUGGAGGCCGUAAUCUCGAGCGUCUGUCAUCAUAGCGAUCAGCUGCAGGCUCUCAUUAAUUUCACGUAUUCCAGCUCAUAGGCAUCCACUACACACUGUAUUCUUUAUUUACGUACAGUGUCAGCCCAUGUAUAGUCGAUGGUCCGCUGUCCGGCUGCUCAGACAUGCUAUCGAUUCACCCAUCACGUCCAGCCAGUGCGCGCACUAUAAGAACAUGGGCUGGCAUGCGCUCUCAUGUUCCCAUUCAGAUCCAUCUGUUUCAGAAUGUUGAGGCUCACGAUCAGGCCGUUUGGAGGCCAUCUGCUUGUACCAGCGAAGAACAGCACAGGCCAUGCCCGUUGCAACACAGCAAAAUCGCACAAGAACAGCACCGUAGCCAUGGCGUCGUCGUCUUCCUCAGCUCGUUCGAGACAUAGGUGGCAACAAGAACUAAUCACGAAAUAAGAUGAUUUUUCGCAAUGCGAAACACUACAAGUGCCAUCCCCAGGGGCUCGCUACCCAUACAUUUAACAAACAUCAAAAGAAUGAGACACGUGAGCAGGCUUCUUCUGAAUUUCACACGAAGACAGCUACAGAAAAUAUAUAGCAAACAUCAGGUGACAGGUUUAGAAAGAAGAACAAGGCAAGUCACCUCCUGGUCCAACAAGAUCCCUUUGACUUUGACACGACCACGCCGUCCUCCUCUCCAUCCUCUGAUGCCGUAUCACCGCUAAUAUUUCCAGUGCCUAGCUCACAUGAAUCAGCCACCCUUUGUACGAGCCGCAAUCCCUCUCGGUGACGAAUAUUUGUUCCGUCUGCUCAACUGCUUCGUAUUCCAGGGGUACCCAUCCCUACGCACUGGCUUGGAAGAAAUCAAGCCAUCUUGGACACCAGCAGUUCCGCUGGUCUCAUCAUCAAUCGAGGGCGCGUCGCCAACUCCAUCUCUCAAGACAACCUCGACAUCCAAAGGAGGAGCGAACCUGCCUAGAGAAACAACGUCGAGCCAGAUCUGAUUUUAGAUGAAGAAAUACGGAAAGCGACAAUCCAAACCACUUACAGACCAACUAGGGACAUCCCCAUACCGAAAAUAGGCGAAAAUCCAGAGUUAAACGGAACAUUACCCUGCAUCUGAUUUCUCGUAGAAGAACUCCAUGCCAUCCAUGGCGAAAGCGCGGAGCGCCUCUGCUCCAAUAUGCUCCAUCCUGCGCACUGCCUGGCCUCAUAAUGGUCAUCAAGCGAGCCCACAAGAUACAUUUACUCUCAAUCGACUGCAGUGGGCCAAAUUCAAAGCCGCCCACCGAGAACAUCAUGUUCGAGCGAGGCACCGGUUAAACGUAGGCCCAUGUACAAACCGUAAACACGACAGAGACGGCACCGGUGUAUUUCUUCUUACUAUCGAUCGUAUAUAGCUCUAAAGGCUGACUACACGCAUCCAGAUGUUAGAAACGGUCGACCGAGAUUACGGCCUCCAGGGUGCUCGGCCUCCAAAAUGCCUCUCUCUCUCUUCCAACUUUUCUGUUGCACAACUACUCUUCCACCUAUUGUUAUACGGCUACAUAUACCAGAAGGAGAGUAUAGCUAGUGGCUCGUUGAGAUUUUUUUUAAUUUUUUUUUUUGCGAAAGGCUCAUUGAGAAAUUUGGUAUAGAUAUAUGGCUCAAGCAAAACGAAAUUACUCCCUACCUCCCCAUACCCGUACCUGCCCCGGUCCCUCCUUUAAUACGUUGCCAGUCCUGGCCAGCUGCCACCAAUCAGAGUAGCCAUCAAUGUUGCAUUAACUUUGUAUAUACAGAGUAGUUUAAUGGGAGCAGUAUAAACUGGUGAGUAUCGGACCCGGCAUUAUCUGAUUAGGCGUAUCUGGGCCCGGCCCUUGUGAAUGAAUUAGUGAGUGGGGGCGUCCCGGAAGUUAUGGCGAUGGAUGGAUCGCCAUCGAGCAGGUAGAGGGAGGUUUCGGCUGGGGUACGUACGUCGGCCGGUCGUCCAAUACGGUUGGCAGCUCCCGCACACACGCACAAUCAAUGACCCGCCCACGAAACCAAUCUUCUUCUGAAAAUGAAAGAUUUUUUUUUCUUUUUUUAGAAAUUACAAUGUGCGUCUUGUUCACGUUGUGAUCUCGGCUCCGGCCGCUGGAUGGAUCGUUGGCGAGAAAAUGCAGGUCUCCAAGGCGGAGUUCAUCGACCUGGCGCGCAAGUCGGGCAAGUUCGACGAGGAGAGCCUGGCGUUCCAGGCGCGGCUUCUGGCCAAGUCCGGCAUCGGGGACGAGUCCUACAUGCCGCGCUGCGUCUUCCAGCCCGACGCCAACUGCGCCACCAUGAAGGAGGGCCGCGCCGAGGCCUCCGCCGCCAUGUUCGCCGCGCUCGACGAGCUCUUCGACAAGUGCCGCGUCCGCCCCAAGGACGUCGGCGUCCUCGUCGUCAACUGCAGCCUCUUCAACCCCACCCCGUCCCUCUCCGCCAUGAUCGUCAACCACUACAAGAUGCGCGGCAACAUCCUCAGCUACAACCUGGGGGGCAUGGGCUGCAGCGCCGGGGUCAUCUCCAUCGACCUCGCCCGCGACAUGCUCCAGGCCAGCGGCGCCGGGCUCGCCGUUGUGGUGAGCACCGAGGCGGUGUCGUUCACCUGGUACGCCGGGAAGCGCCGCUCCAUGCUCAUCCCCAACGCCUUCUUCCGCGCGGGCGCGGCCGCCGUGCUGCUGUCCAACCGCCGCAGGGACUUCCGCCGCGCCAAGUACCAGCUGGAGCACGUGGUGCGCACCCACAAGGGCGCCGACGACCGCGCCUUCCGCUCCGUGUACCAGGAGGAGGACGAGCAGCGGAUCAAGGGCCUGUCCAUCAGCCGCGACCUGGUGGAGGUCGGCGGCCACGCGCUCAAGACCAACAUCACCACCCUCGGCCCGCUGGUGCUCCCCUUCUCGGAGCAGCUCCUCUUCUUCGCCGGCGUGCUGUUCCGCCACCUCUACCCGUCCAAGACGUCCACCCCGCCGCCGCCGGCCGCCAACGGGGACACCUCGGCCGCCGCGCCCUACAUCCCGGACUUCAAGCGCGCGUUCGAGCACUUCUGCAUGCACGCGGCCAGCCGCGACGUGCUGGAGCACCUGCAGCGCAACCUGGGGCUCCGCGACGCCGACCUGGAGGCCUCCCGCGCCGCGCUGCACCGCUUCGGCAACACCUCCAGCAGCAGCAUCUGGUACGAGCUGGCCUACCUGGAGGCCAAGGGCCGCGUCCGCCGCGGUGACCGCGUGUGGCAGCUCGCCUUCGGCUCCGGGUUCAAGUGCAACAGCGCCGUGUGGCGCGCCGUCCGCCGCGUGCGCCGCCCGUCCAGGAGCCCGUGGCUGGACUGCGUCGACCAGUACCCGGCGCGCAUGGACGCCUGACCGACCGAGCGAGCGAAGCAGGCGCACGUGCUAAUAAUUAAGCGAGGUAAAGGAACACGUCGUCAUCGCACCCGCGUGGGUAAGUGCAGGCUAAUGGAAAUGAUGCUAUCGAUUUGCAUGUAACUGCAUGCAGUGCCGCUGGUUUAAGGUUUGAGCUUUGGUUAAUUUGUGCUGGUGUUGUAGCGGUUAUCUAUUAUUAAGGGGUUUAAUCAUAGACUACGUACCAUAAUGCGCAAGUGUAUGUGCGCGCUCUUGUGAAACUUAUGUGAACUUGAUUAUCUAUGUGCAAUUUCAUU
RNAcentral lists this long non-coding RNA (30662 nucleotides) under Triticum aestivum (bread wheat). RNAcentral's name for it is "long non-coding RNA (TAES_LNC003706)". The record is from RNAcentral. Lineage: Eukaryota; Viridiplantae; Streptophyta; Magnoliopsida; Poales; Poaceae.